Long non-coding RNA from Toxorhynchites rutilus septentrionalis, 2237 nucleotides. RefSeq lists it as uncharacterized. Lineage: Eukaryota; Metazoa; Arthropoda; Insecta; Diptera; Culicidae. The transcript has 3 exons. The record is from RefSeq and is a predicted model, not a curated record.
CUUGCUCUCAUGCGCAUCAGCUCUAUUCUGAUGCAACAAGCUCCUAGCUUUGUUGACGGUUUUGACCGAGAGUCGAGAAAUGAUUUUUCAAAAACGGUCAUUCUCGCGAUGUUUCAUUUUUAUCGCUGCAACUGUGUGCAUCUGUUAGACGCGUGUUUGAUGCUUGUUGAACGGAAGAUGCCUCUCGUUAAAUACUCAGUGCAAUGCGUGCAUGAAAUUUCGACGUAUUCGCAAAUAAUAUUCGAAAGGAUAAAGGAAAUUUUAAAGAAAAAAAUAUUGUGUAGUCCUACGUCCUAAGCGGUCGUGUCUCGGAUACAACCCCUCGAUUUUUUUUCACGUGAAGAAACCAGAAGAAAAAUCAAAAAUUUGAAAAUCCUCAUUUUGUGACGACAUUGUUUGAAGCUAUUCGACAACCAUCCAACAAGCAGCCAUCAAAAUCCAUUUACGUCGGUGUGCUUCACGACAACAAGAAUUCUUUUGGGCAGUCGCUUACUGACGGUUGAAAACCCUUCGAUCAGGAACGGGUAAGCCCCAUCACCACUAAAAGCUAGAGACGAGAAGAUUGAUUCCUUUUGGAUAUGACAUGACCCGUUCAGAUAUACACUCUGUCCAACUUCUAUAAGACCAGGUGAUGAUCUUGCUGCUUUGCGUCAUUGUAAACAAACAAUGAUUCAACUUAUAUUCUAGUGUUGUCAUGUUUCUAUAAGAAUUACCAGUUACAUUUUCCGUUGUUUUAGUUGCUAUGAUUAAUGAAUUUGGAAAAUGCCGAAGGGAAAAAUGCUCACGGAGAGAGAAGAAAGACAAAUUGAUGCAUUUCACCAAGAAAAUGUUGGUAUCAGAGAAAUUACUCCUAGGAUUGAACGAUCCCAUCAAGUAAUGCUCAAUUAUUUGGCAAAUCCUCGAGGAUACGGUAAGAAGGAGAGAGCUCCACGUAAAUCGAAGCUCUCUGACCGGGAUAAGCGGGAAAUAGCUGAAACAGCUUCGAAUACCUCAAAAUCGCUUAUGCAAAUAAAGCAGUAUUCCAAUUUAAAUGUUACUCGGGUGACAAUUCGUCAAGUUUUGGUGAAAAAUCAUCACAUAAAGAGGACUUAAAAGGUUGACGCUCCUCAUCUUACACCAUCUCACAUCGGAAGACGUCUGAGUUUUGCCAAAGCUCACAUGAACAGACAGUGGGACAUGAUAAGUUGUGACAAAGAAUGUUUCCAAAAGAAUACAUUUUGCUAUAUACCAUAACGAAAAGUUCUUCAAUAAUAUUUUUUUUAUUUUUAUCUCUGCUAGGUUAUCUUCACUAACGAAAAAAAAGUUCAAUUUGGAUGGUCCUGAUGGUUCAACGGAUUCUGGCGUGAUUUACGGAAAAGAACAGUAUUUUUCAACCAGGAAUUUUGGUGGAUGCUCGUGCAUGAUUUGGGCGGGAUACUGUGCAACCUGAAAGCUCAAGAUAGCUUUCACAACAUUCAAAAAUUAGAUACAUGUUCUGGAAUCCUCUCUCCUGAUGUUUUUGCGUGGAUAUCAUCACAAAAAAAACACAUUCCAGCAAAACAAUGCUACUAUUCAUACCAGCAAGAAAACUAAGCAAUGGAUUAGAACCAAAAACAUUUUUUUUUUUGACUGAGCCGGCCAGUAUCAGUUUCCAGACUUGAAUUCUGUUGAAAAUCUUAGGAGGAUCCUUAUACGCAGAAUCUACACUGAAGGAAAACGGUACACCACUAUUGAAGAGCUCAAGGUCGCAAUUUCGGAAACAUGGAAAAAUAUCGAUAAAUCCGUUCAACAGUACUUAGUAAAUAGUAUUUCAGAAAUGGAAAGGUUACCAAUCAUUCGUUUUGAAUUGUUCACUGAUAAUACUUAUGAAUUUUGAAAUGGUCUUAUAGAAACAGGACAGCUGAAAUUAUCAUAUUUAAGCACAAUAAAUGAACAAACAACUCUUUUGGACGAAGUUGGCGUUAAGUAUACUUUAUUCCAAGCAUUCAACUUUGUAUGAAUUUAUCUUGUUGAAAUUCUAACUGUUUGUGUUGCAACGAAAUGGAAUCAAGGUAGUCUUAUAGAAGUUGGACAUAGUGUAUUAAACAGCAGCAACGAAUUCCGCGCUUUCAAAGUUCAUAUACGGAUACAAAGGAAAAGCGACGGCAUUCGGGAAGGAUGGAAAAAAUAUAUAUAAAACAUUUCCGAGUGGGAAACUUUUUCCCUCAACCUCCCUCGCAUUAUUAAUGCACCACGUUUUCCAUGUACAAUUUUCUUUA